RNAcentral lists this ribosomal RNA (212 nucleotides) under uncultured bacterium. RNAcentral describes it as "partial 16S ribosomal RNA". It matches the Rfam family "Bacterial small subunit ribosomal RNA", at positions 583 to 793 of the family's 1533-position model. The record is from RNAcentral.
CUAAGUCUGAUGUGAAAGACCUUCGGCUUAACCGGAGAAGUGCAUCGGAAACUGGAUAACUUGAGUGCAGAAGAGGGUAGUGGAACUCCAUGUGUAGCGGUGGAAUGCGUAGAUAUAUGGAAGAACACCAGUGGCGAAGGCGGCUACCUGGUCUGCAACUGACGCUGAGACUCGAAAGCAUGGGUAGCGAACAGGAUUAGAUACCCUGGUAG